ACCGCCAGGCACGCGUUUGCCAUGGCGACUUGACAACAGUAAACAGUGAAGAUGGAGAAGAGCGCGGACACAAACUAUAAAGUGUACGAAGAUUAUCUGGACUCUAAAGUGACGUCGAUGGAUUUAUUUUAUCUCAAAAGCAGAGCGUUGGCUCGUAAACUGGUUGAACAUGGACACAAAGGCACAGUCGUGAACAGGGAGGAGUUUGAGGACAAAUCAGCGUCUCAGGCUGCUGAGACUGUGAAGAACAACACUCUGUUUUACCGGAGUCGACCAGUAACACUGUCAUGUGCAGGAAAAGAGCUCAGAGAUGACUUCCUGAAGGCGCUGGCAGAGCGAGAGGAGGCCAACCGCAGCGGCAGAAUGAAUUCGCUGGUCUUCAUCAGGGACCAGAAUCCUCGGGGACAGGAAGUGUCCGGUUACAUUGACCUCGCCCACAGACUCAGGUCCCAGGAUUUUGACAUUUAUUUCAGUGGAAAGAAGAAGCUGAUGCCGGGACGCUCCGAUUUAUGGUCCUAUGGGACAGCGAGGGAGGCGGGGCCAAGUGAAGUUACUACAACUGGAAAACACAGGUGUCCACGUCCAACUCCAGUCCAAACUUUGAGGUGAUUUACGACGACACGAGCGGCCUCGUCUUCAAGAACAAGAGGGAUAAAAAGACGGUGAACGUGGAUCCUGACUCAGGACCUGGUGAAGACUCCAGCAGAACCGUCCUACAGUCAGACCUCUACAUUCAUGUCGUCAUCUACGACCACUUCAUCAGAACCUUCUGAGCUUCACAUCAUGAGGAAGAUGAUGAAGAUGAUGUCAUCAGUCCUGAUGUCUGGAGGGAAACAAGGGCGGAGUCAAGUGCUUUUAUGAUUUUAAAUGUUUAAAUUUGAGAUUACUUUAGUUUAACUUACGUUUAGUGCAGGUUUAGUUUAGAUUUGGUUUAACUUUAGUUUCGGUUUGUUUUCAGAUAAUGUGUAAAAGUUGAAAGUUUCAUGUAAACAUUGUGCAGAUGAUAAAUGAAAAUCGUUAUUAAGUUAACUUUGUUCAAAGUUAGCUUAGCAUCAUAACCACUAGCUAUGCAGUGACUGGUUAACUUGUGUUAGUUAUUAUUCACUUAUCAGUCAUCAUCAUGAUUUCAGAUUCUUUAUAAAGUUUAUUCAGAUUAAAUCAACUUUAUUGUUCUCACAGAAACAAACAUGACACUGAGGAUGUGAUUUUAAAAUAUUAAAAACAAAAACAGAAGUAAAAUCAUAAAAGUCUAAAAACAAACUGUGUCAGGUGAUAAAUAAAACACACACACACACACACACACACAGAGUAAUGAUUUCACAAUAAAAGCCUGGUGUAAACGCUUCCUCUUCAUUACUUUGAUGGCAUUCUUAUUAGCUGCUGCUAAUGUACACAACAUGAGCUA
RNA transcript from Solea solea (common sole), 1405 nucleotides. It is a transcript of the gene named cilia and flagella associated protein 299, with no coding region annotated. The record is from RefSeq and is a predicted model, not a curated record. The transcript has 7 exons. Lineage: Eukaryota; Metazoa; Chordata; Actinopteri; Pleuronectiformes; Soleidae.